UAUAAGCUAUAAUCAUGCAUUAGUUAUAAAAUUAUAGUAUCUUUUUCAUCAAGUUUGAUGCGGUGGUGUUUGGUAGGUUCAGAUGUGGAUCAAAACACUCCUGUUCAACUAAAGAAGUGACUCGAUUAUAUUUGUAUGAUGGUAAGUGAGAAAUAAAUGAUAAUUUUAUUAAUAUUGAAUUCCUUGUCGCUUAUAUGAUUGGUGAUGGUGAUUAUAUUUAUUAUAAGGUGAUUAUAUACAGA
RNAcentral lists this long non-coding RNA (242 nucleotides) under Actinidia chinensis (golden kiwifruit). RNAcentral's name for it is "long non-coding RNA (ACHI_LNC002858)". The record is from RNAcentral. Lineage: Eukaryota; Viridiplantae; Streptophyta; Magnoliopsida; Ericales; Actinidiaceae.